This 487-nucleotide ribosomal RNA is filed under the name uncultured bacterium. RNAcentral's name for it is "bacterial SSU rRNA". It matches the Rfam family "Bacterial small subunit ribosomal RNA", at positions 501 to 987 of the family's 1533-position model. The record is from RNAcentral.
CUACGUGCCAGCAGCCGCGGUAAUACGUAGGUGGCAAGCGUUGUCCGGAAUUAUUGGGCGUAAAGCGCGCGCAGGCGGAUUGGUCAGUCUGUCUUAAAAGUUCGGGGCUUAACCCCGUGAUGGGAUGGAAACUGCCAAUCUAGAGUAUCGGAGAGGAAAGUGGAAUUCCUAGUGUAGCGGUGAAAUGCGUAGAUAUUAGGAAGAACACCAGUGGCGAAAGCGGCUUUCUGGACGAAAACUGACGCUGAGGCGCGAAAGCCAGGGGAGCGAACGGGAUUAGAUACCCCGGUAGUCCUGGCCGUAAACGAUGGGUACUAGGUGUAGGAGGUAUCGACCCCUUCUGUGCCGGAGUUAACGCAAUAAGUACCCCGCCUGGGGAGUACGACCGCAAGGUUGAAACUCAAAGGAAUUGACGGGGGCCCGCACAAGCGGUGGAGUAUGUGGUUUAAUUCGACGCAACGCGAAGAACCUUACCAGGUCUUGACAU